RNAcentral lists this ribosomal RNA (414 nucleotides) under uncultured bacterium. RNAcentral's name for it is "bacterial SSU rRNA". It matches the Rfam family "Bacterial small subunit ribosomal RNA", at positions 674 to 1085 of the family's 1533-position model. The record is from RNAcentral.
UGUAGCAGUGAAAUGCGUAGAGAUAUGGAAGAACAUCGAUGGCGAAGGCAACCUCCUGGGCUAGCACUGACGCUCAUGCACGAAAGCGUGGGGAGCAAACAGGAUUAGAUACCCCUGGUAGUCCACGCCCUAAACUAUGUCAACUAGUUGUCGGGUCUUAUUAGACUUGGUAACGUAGCUAACGCGUGAAGUUGACCGCCUGGGGAGUACGGUCGCAAGAUUAAAACUCAAAGGAUUGACGGGGACCCGCACAAGCGGUGGAUUAUGUGGAUUAAUUCGAUGCAACGCGAAAAACCUUACCUACCCUUGACAUGUCAGAAAAUUUUCAGAGAUGAAUUUUGUGCCCGAAAGGGAAUCUGAACACAGGUGCUGCAUGGCUGUCGUCAGCUCGUGUCGUGAGAUGUUGGGUUAAGU